This is a long non-coding RNA of Nicotiana attenuata, 443 nucleotides long. RefSeq lists it as uncharacterized. The transcript has 4 exons. The record is from RefSeq and is a predicted model, not a curated record. Lineage: Eukaryota; Viridiplantae; Streptophyta; Magnoliopsida; Solanales; Solanaceae.
AGCUUAGGGGAGCCAGUAUUAAUACCAGACAUGGUAAAGUCAAUUUGACAGUUCAUAGUGCCUCGGGGCAACAUAAGUAUAAUGAACUGUAUUUCGUGAAAAUUAUGGAAUCCCACAAUUAUAGUACAGACAUAGGUUUGUUGUGUCAAUGAAGAACGAUGACCUCGACAGCAAAGGGGUUUUCUCUAGUAUUACUCAAGCUGGAGUAACAAUAGAAUCAUUCAAGGAAAAUUCUGCGAUGCAAUUGAAAAUGGUGGCCAAAAGUCGAUUUGACCAUUUGAAGUUAAUGAGAAAGACUUUUGGACAACUAGGAUAUGUAUCUUUCAUGAUACAUAUGAAUAUAUUUUAUUUUGUAAAAUUCACAUUAAAUACGUAGCUUGAAGUGAUUGUCUUUAUUAGUUGAUGUAUUACAUGAAAUAUAUUCCUUUUUUCGAAGUUCAUCG